UCCAGGGUAACCUAGUGGACAUGGCAUCUGCCCGGUAAGCGGAACACUGUGGGUUCGAUUCCCAUCCCUGGAC
RNAcentral lists this transfer RNA (73 nucleotides) under Cordylochernes scorpioides. RNAcentral describes it as "tRNA-Thr". It matches the Rfam family "tRNA". From Rfam's summary of the family: Transfer RNA (tRNA) molecules are approximately 80 nucleotides in length. Their secondary structure includes four short double-helical elements and three loops (D, anti-codon, and T loops). Further hydrogen bonds mediate the characteristic L-shaped molecular structure. tRNAs have two regions of fundamental functional importance: the anti-codon, which is responsible for specific mRNA codon recognition, and the 3' end, to which the tRNAs corresponding amino acid is attached (by aminoacyl-tRNA synthetases). tRNAs cope with the degeneracy of the genetic code in two manners: having more than one tRNA (with a specific anti-codon) for a particular amino acid; and 'wobble' base-pairing, i.e. permitting non-standard base-pairing at the 3rd anti-codon position. The record is from RNAcentral. Lineage: Eukaryota; Metazoa; Arthropoda; Arachnida; Pseudoscorpiones; Chernetidae.